AUUGAACGCUGGCGGCAUGCCUUACACAUGCAAGUCGAACGGCAGCGGACCUUCGGGUGCCGGCGAGUGGCGAACGGGUGAGUAAUAUAUCGGAACGUACCUUUCAGUGGGGGAGUAACGUAGUGAAAGUUACGCUAAUACCGCAUAUUCUGUGAGCAGGAAAGACAGGGGAGUCGCAAGACCUUGCGCUGAUUGAGCGGCCGAUAUCAGAUUAGCUAGUUGGUGAGGUAAAGGACUCACCAAGGCGACGAUCUGUAGCGGGUCGUGAGAGGAUGAUCCGCCACACUGGAACUAGAGACACGGUCCA
Molecule: ribosomal RNA, 307 nt
Filed under: uncultured bacterium
Lineage: Bacteria
Description: bacterial SSU rRNA
Rfam family: Bacterial small subunit ribosomal RNA
Source: RNAcentral